AAUUUAUAUAGUAUAAAAAUUAUUACUAACUUCCAAUUAGAAGAUCUUUAAAUAUUAAAGUAUAAAU
This 67-nucleotide transfer RNA is filed under the name Agrilinae sp. 2 ACP-2013. RNAcentral describes it as "tRNA-Gly". The record is from RNAcentral. Lineage: Eukaryota; Metazoa; Arthropoda; Insecta; Coleoptera; Buprestidae.